GACGAGCCACCCAAACGUUAUUCGGAAUCACUGGGCGUAAAGGGAGCGUAGGCGGCGCGGCAAGUCAGAUGUGAAAUCCCGGGGCUCAACCCCGGAACUGCAUCCGAUACUGCCGUGCUUGAGGGUUGGAGAGGCAGCUGGAAUUCUCGGUGUAGCAGUGAAAUGCGUGGAGAUCGAGAGGAACACUCGUGGCGAAAGCGAGCUGCUGGACAACAUCUGACGCUGAGGCUCGAAGGCCAGGGUAGCGAAAGGG
This 253-nucleotide unclassified non-coding RNA is filed under the name uncultured Verrucomicrobiota bacterium. RNAcentral's name for it is "uncultured Verrucomicrobia bacterium contains 16S-23S intergenic spacer region". It matches the Rfam family "Bacterial small subunit ribosomal RNA", at positions 524 to 776 of the family's 1533-position model. Lineage: Bacteria; Pseudomonadati; Verrucomicrobiota. The record is from RNAcentral.